GGCACCAUUAGGCAGACUGGGAUUUGUUGUUGAGCGCAGUAAGACAACAACAAAAUCACUAGUCUUCCAGACGGGGCC
RNAcentral lists this microRNA precursor (78 nucleotides) under Pongo abelii (Sumatran orangutan). RNAcentral's name for it is "miRNA". Lineage: Eukaryota; Metazoa; Chordata; Mammalia; Primates; Hominidae. The record is from RNAcentral.